RNAcentral lists this ribosomal RNA (502 nucleotides) under Cryptopygus nivicolus. RNAcentral describes it as "eukaryotic LSU rRNA". It matches the Rfam family "Eukaryotic large subunit ribosomal RNA", at positions 201 to 698 of the family's 3401-position model. Lineage: Eukaryota; Metazoa; Arthropoda; Collembola; Entomobryomorpha; Isotomidae. The record is from RNAcentral.
GCCCAUGGAGGGUGCUAGGCCCGUAUGUCAGUGCGUCUCGUCCGUAGAGUCGGGUUGCUUGGGAGUGCAGCCCAAAUACGGUGGUAAACUCCAUCUAAGGCUAAAUAUGACCACGAGACCGAUAGCAAACAAGUACCGUGAGGGAAAGUGAAAAGAACUUUGAAGAGAGAGUUAAAUAGUACGUGAAACCUCUCGGGGGUAAGCGGGCAGAACUUGCAAGUUAAUUCAGGCUUAGGUGCGGAUUGGCAGGUGUGUGCUCUUUUGCGCCGCAUUUAUCGUUGCAUGUGAUAGUUUAGGUGCUGGGUAACUGCGAAGCCUUGUUCGAGUCUUUCCCUACUGCUCGGUAGAACAGGCGUUUGCGGUCAACUGCUUGGACGAGUUGUGUGCGUAUGAUGUGUAGACGUCUGAUUGUCGGUGGCUCUGUUGCCUAAUGCAUGCGUGGUCUGCCUGUCCCGUCUUGAAACACGGACCAAGGAGUCUAACAUGUAUGCGAGUCAUUGGG